RNAcentral lists this ribosomal RNA (253 nucleotides) under uncultured bacterium. RNAcentral describes it as "partial 16S ribosomal RNA". It matches the Rfam family "Bacterial small subunit ribosomal RNA", at positions 524 to 776 of the family's 1533-position model. The record is from RNAcentral.
UACGGGGGGGGCAAGCGUUGUUCGGAAUUACUGGGCGUAAAGGGCGCGUAGGCGGCAUGACAAGUCGGGAGUGAAAGCCCGGGGCUCAACCCCGGAACGGCUUUCGAAACUGUCAAGCUAGAGUGCGGAAGAGGCAACUGGAAUUCCCAGUGUAGCGGUGAAAUGCGUAGAUAUUGGGAAGAACACCUGAGGCGAAGGCGGGUUGCUGGGCCGACACUGACGCUGAUGCGCGAAAGCCAGGGGAGCAAACGGG